UUUGGUUGGGCACUCUAAUGAGACUGCCGGUGACAAACCGGAGGAAGGUGGGGAUGACGUCAAGUCCUCAUGGCCCUUAUGGGUAGGGCUUCACACGUCAUACAAUGGUCGGUACAGAGGGUUGCCAACCCGCGAGGGGGAGCUAAUCCCACAAAGCCGAUCGUAGUCCGGAUCGCAGUCUGCAACUCGACUGCGUGAAGUCGGAAUCGCUAGUAAUCGUGGAUCAGCAUGUCACGGUGAAUACGUUCCCGGGUCUU
RNAcentral lists this ribosomal RNA (257 nucleotides) under uncultured Rhodocyclaceae bacterium. RNAcentral's name for it is "partial 16S ribosomal RNA". It matches the Rfam family "Bacterial small subunit ribosomal RNA", at positions 1126 to 1382 of the family's 1533-position model. The record is from RNAcentral. Lineage: Bacteria; Pseudomonadati; Pseudomonadota; Betaproteobacteria; Rhodocyclales; Rhodocyclaceae.